GCCCGUGUGGUGUAGUGGUUUGAGUGUUGGACUACAGCUCUGGAGACUAGGGUUCAAAUCCCUGCUCAGCCA
This 72-nucleotide transfer RNA is filed under the name Phrynosoma platyrhinos (Desert horned lizard). RNAcentral's name for it is "tRNA-OTHER". The record is from RNAcentral. Lineage: Eukaryota; Metazoa; Chordata; Lepidosauria; Squamata; Phrynosomatidae.